RNAcentral lists this ribosomal RNA (345 nucleotides) under uncultured Prevotella sp. RNAcentral describes it as "bacterial SSU rRNA". It matches the Rfam family "Bacterial small subunit ribosomal RNA", at positions 476 to 820 of the family's 1533-position model. Lineage: Bacteria; Pseudomonadati; Bacteroidota; Bacteroidia; Bacteroidales; Prevotellaceae. The record is from RNAcentral.
UACCAUACGAAUAAGGACCGGCUAAUUCCGUGCCAGCAGCCGCGGUAAUACGGAAGGUCAAGGCGUUAUCCGGAUUUAUUGGGUUUAAAGGGAGCGUAGGCUGUUUGUUAAGCGUGUUGUGAAAUGUAGGAGCUCAACUUUUAGAUUGCAGCGCGAACUGGCAGACUUGAGUGCGCACAACGUAGGCGGAAUUCAUGGUGUAGCGGUGAAAUGCUUAGAUAUCAUGACGAACUCCGAUUGCGAAGGCAGCUUACGGGAGCGCAACUGACGCUAAAGCUCGAAGGUGCGGGUAUCGAACAAGAUUAGAUACCCUGGAAGUCCGCACAGUAAACUAUGGAUGCCCGC